RNAcentral lists this ribosomal RNA (253 nucleotides) under uncultured bacterium. RNAcentral describes it as "partial 16S ribosomal RNA". It matches the Rfam family "Bacterial small subunit ribosomal RNA", at positions 524 to 776 of the family's 1533-position model. The record is from RNAcentral.
UACGUAGGGUGCAAGCGUUGUUCGGAAUUAUUGGGCGUAAAGCGCGUGUAGGCGGCUUUGCAAGUCGGGUGUGAAAGCCCUCAGCUCAACUGAGGAAGUGCGCCCGAAACUGCAGAGCUUGAGUGCCGGAGAGGGUGGCGGAAUUCCCCAAGUAGAGGUGAAAUUCGUAGAUAUGGGGAGGAACACCGGUGGCGAAGGCGGCCUGCUGGGCAGUAGCUGACACUGAGGCGCGACAGCGUGGGGAGCAAACAGG